UUUAGGAGAGAGAGUUUUCUGGGUGGAGAGCAGGUGACAUGUAGCAGAGCAGCUGCCAUGCUGCAUCCCCAAUGCACAAGCCUGAGCAUUGCCAGCAUGAGCGGAUUGGUGUUUGAAGGCCCAGAUGGCAACAGGGGAGCAGGAGCUCUUGUGCCCACAGCUCCUCCUCGUGGGCACGGGGGUUGCUGAAGUACAAACAACACGAGACUGUCAUGGAAACAACUUGGUGCUGGCCCUACUGUGCAACGCUGCAUAAAAGAGCUUUGCUCUUUCAGGGGAGCUCCUCUCGAGCCACUACUCUUUUCACUGAGAGCCCCGGGAUACCAGGGAAAGCCUCAGCUCUUCUUUUCUCCCUGAAACUCCUACACACCUGCCUGGGUGCUGUGUGAGAACCAGGCAGGACAGUGUGGUGGUGGUGGGUGCAGGUAUCAGCAGGCUGGUGGCCACCAAGUGCCUGGAAGAGGGGCUGGAGCCCACCUGCUUCAAGCAGAGCCAGGACAUCGGAGGCUCUGGUGCUACACAAAAUCCCCCACCAAUUCAAGGAGGACAAGCCAGAAGACCUGGGCUGACUCAUUACUCACUGGCUUGGCUAUUUUAGGACAAGUGAGGAUGGAUGAAUGUGUUUCUCUCGAACCAUCUGAGCUUGGGCAAAGGCUGAUGUGUAAUGCAGUGAUCCUGGAGCAAGCAAUGAAACAGACCCCUGAGCUCACCUAUCUUUCCUAUAUCUCCUGAUCCAGUAUAUACAAUCUGCAGUGUCCAAAAGUCUAGGUCCCAGCACCCUGGGAUUUUAGGUUGUACCCAAAGCUGUGCUGUACAACGCUCCUGGAGCCUUGGACACUCUUUCCAUCUCUUCUCCUUGCAGAUAUUGAGAAGUUCAAGGGCCAGUAUUUCCACAAGACCCAUGAGGGAUGUGAGGAGAAGAUCAUUUUGGCAUUUGGUCUGGGGAAUUUUGGAUUGGACAUCACAGUGGGGCUUUCCCCAGAAGCCAAGGAGAAGGUGGACCCCUCCAGAGCAGAGGGAGCAGUCACUGCUGGGUGGUCUGUACACACUAAGAUUACCUCCUAAGAUCAGAGCUGGCGUUCUGUUUAGCUAUGCUGCAAUCUUUCUUCAGGGAAAACAUAUAGUAGUGAUUAUCACAGAAUUACUGUGAACCAUGGAGCAUGAAGAUGCUGGCAUUUGCAUCCUUCAGACCAACACCUCUUUGGGCCACACUUUAAACGAAAAGAAAAAUAUAUUUCUUAUUUAUUUUCUGUCAUGAA
This is a long non-coding RNA of Strigops habroptila (Kakapo), 1259 nucleotides long. RefSeq lists it as uncharacterized. The transcript has 5 exons. NCBI's taxonomy places the organism in Eukaryota, Metazoa, Chordata, Aves, Psittaciformes, Psittacidae. The record is from RefSeq and is a predicted model, not a curated record.